RNAcentral lists this long non-coding RNA (3503 nucleotides) under Homo sapiens (human). Its description in RNAcentral is "HSALNT0129708". Lineage: Eukaryota; Metazoa; Chordata; Mammalia; Primates; Hominidae. The record is from RNAcentral.
CAUAAAAUAUAAAUGAAUUUUAUUUAUGAAUGUAUAGAUGUACAGCAAAUAGGAAAGAUAAUACAUUAAAAGAACAUAUACUAUAACCAGGUAGAGUUUUAUCUCAGGAAUUUAAGGAUGUUUUAAUAUUACAAAAACCCUUAUUAUAAUCAUAUUAGGCAAUUUAAGUGAUAAAAAUUUGAUUGUAUCAAAAGACACCAAUUCCUUUUAUCAAGCUUUUAGCUUCCAACAAACAAGAAUAGAAGAUGUUAUUUCUGUUAUCCUAACAAAGAACAUUUGUUUAAAACCAACAAUUAACUUCAUAUGUAAUGAAAAAAUAUCAAAAAAACUUAUUACAAUUUUAUGAAACACAAAAACAAAAUAGAAAUACCUAUGAUUUUAUAUUUAGAAAGAGCAAACAGGCCAUCUAAAACUGUUAGAACAAAGAAAAUCACCAAAAGAUACAUAUUUUAAAAGUUAAUAGCUUUCUAAUAAUAGAGAUUCCCAUGCUGACAGCAACAUAGAUAUAAAACAGCCAAGAAAGAAUUAAUUAAGGUAUAUAUAAAACCUAGACAAAAAGAAGAACCAAGUAUAAUGAAAAAAAUCAAGAAACAUGACAAUAAUGGAGACUAAAUCCCUCGAUGGAAAGAAUUAUAAUCAUAAAUGUAAGCCUUAAAGAGUUAACUUUAGAUGUAGACAAGUCAAACUGAAGCACUAAAAACAUGUUGACCUUAUAUAACACAUUCCUUAGGGGGAAAAAAAGAUUUUUUAAUAUUGGAAAAAAUAUGGUUAGGCAUAGUGGCUCAUGCCUGUAAUCCCAGCACAUUCAGAGGCCAAGGCGGGAGGACUGCUUGAGCUUAGGAGUUCAAGACCAGCCUGGGCAACAUAGUGAGACCUUGUCUCUACUAAAAACCUAAAAAGAUUAGCUGAGUAUGGUGGCAUGCACCUAUAGUCCCGGCUACUAGGGAAGCUGAGGCAAGAGGAUGGCUUGAGCCUGAGAAAUCAAGGCUGCAGGGAGCUGUAAUUGUGCCCUGCACUCCAGCCUGGGCAACAGAGUGAGACCCUGUCUCAAAAAAACGUCGGAGAAGGAGGAAAAACAAUGAAGACCAAUAUGCUACUGAUUCACAUGGAUUCAAAUACAAAGUAUAAUCCAUUAUAUGGCAAAAAAUAUGUCUUCACUACCAAGUGUUACAAUUACCAAGAAUAAAUAAUGUUUUGCUCAGAGCUAGUGAGUAAAAAAACACAGCAUUGCACACAGCAUUGCAACAUAAAGUAAGUGCUAUGUUAGGCCUGUAAGAAUGCUACAAGAGUCACCUCUUUUGGAGUCAAGAAAGGCCAACCUGGCGUUUUGAAGAAUCCAAUUUUGCUAGGUUGUGAGGUAGGAAGAAGGAAUGGCACUUAUAAAAGAGGGAACAUCAGUGAAAUCCACAAACGCUUAUUCUAUUAAAGAUUAAAACAGGGCUACCAUCACUGCAGUGGGAACAGGGCACCUUUUACCAAAAACUCCCAUAACAGAUGACUUGAAAACCACUGAGUUUAUGCAUCUGUAGGAUAUAUGCAGGAAGAUGAUGAGGGUUUGAAACAAGGCAGUAUGUACAGGGUGGAAAGAAAGGGGCAGAGAAGGAUAAAUAUUUGAAAGGUUUUUGAGGGGAAGAAACUCUCCAACACUGGGUAACCAAUUUGACAAAGGGAACAAGGAGAAAAAAAAGUAUAGGACAAUUUACAGCUUUUUGUCUAUGUCAUUAGGUAGAUAGUGGUGACAUUCAAAAAUAAGGAAAUAAAAGCAGGAACAAGACUAAAGGAAAAUUCAUAAUUCAAUUUAGAAUACAUUGAAUUUGUAGAGUCUACAGACAUGCGACUUGACAUCAAAAACCCCGAUAAAUUACCAAAGAAAACUCUUUUCCAACUAUAAUGCGAUAACUUUCUAACAGCUUAAUCAUGAGUGAAAAUCAGAGAAAGGCAUGGUUAUAUAAAAUAUUUUACAGAAUGAAUACCAACAAAACUAAGAUUAAAGUAGACUAUUAUAGAAUUGAAUAAAAUACUGCAACAAAGAUGACAGAGGACCAAUAACAUCACAUAUAAAAGCAUAAUGAUAAGAUAUAAAAACAGAACAUAAACAAGUAAAGGUCCAGCAAGUCUCUCAAUGUAAAGGAAAUGCAUUUAUACCCUACACUGUUUCCAUUAAAGAUUUAAGAUAGCUUACUACAAAAAUAUACAUAGUAAAAUGGUAAGUGUAAAUAAUAGUAAUAAUUAAAUGUAAAAAUUUUUUUAAUUAUCACCAGGAGAAAUCUGGACUAGAAAAAAAGAAACAAAAUAUGCAGAGCAUAAGGGCUUUCAGAAAUAUCGUUGACAAUGAAAGUAAAAAGCUCAACACAAGUGGCAUGACUCUUAUUAUCCAUUAGGAGAAAACACAGCCAUUUCUCACUUUAAAAAGGACAUUUUUGCUUUUUCCCUCAAUUGAAAAGAUAGCAUUUCAUGAUAAAAAUUUCUCUACAUUAAUUUAGCUUUAUGAAAACUUAUUACAUUGUCUCUGUUUCUCAAAUGUUAUGUUACUGCAGGACAGUUGAAUUUAAAAACAACAACAACACUUUACACAGUGACAUUUGAGGAUGACUACAAUAAACAGAACAAAAAAAUUAAUUGCAUAAAGCUGCUUCUUGUGGUACCCCUUGAUGAAAAUAAACCACAAAAUACUGAAAUGUAACUCAAUGAACACAGCUGGGUAGGUGGAGAGCAGGGAGGAAGGGAGAAGGGAGAAAGGGGAAAGGGAACAUGAAGUGGGUGAGGUAUACAGACUUCUGAUGGUCCAUCCUGAGCCACAGGAAGAAUGGAUACAAUUUAAAGGAGUGGAUAUACUGCUCAUCCUUCAAACUAUUGUGACUGGGCUUUGGUAAAAGCUCAGCAAGAAAUGAAGAGUAGACAGAGUCUCACACCUGUAAUCCCAGCAGUUUGGGAGGCCGAGGCAGGCAGAUCACCUGAGGUCAGGAGUUUGAGACCAGCCUGGCCAACAUGGUGAAACCCCGUCUCUACUAAAAAUACAUAAUUAACUGGGCGUGGUGGCUCAUGCCUGUAACCUCAGCUACUUGGGAGGCUGAGGCAGGAGAACCACUUGAACCCAGGAGGCGGAGGUUAUGGUGAGAUGAGAUCGCGCCAUUGCACUCCGGCCUGGGCAACAAGAGUGAAACUCUGUCUCCAAAAAAAAAAAAAAGAGUAGACAGAGUGAGGUAGAAGUCUCUGGAGAGAACCCAAAGGUUAUAUACUCUGUACUACUGGCUGAGGAUGGACCUACAAAAAUUGAAUAUCAUCCAAGCACAGUAUUGCUGAGGUCCUUUCAUGAAAAUUUGAGGCCUCGUUAAAGGCUGUCCCACAUCAGCAUAGAUGAGGGCCCCAUUAAUAAAAGGCCAAAUAUAAAAUGAAAAAAUAAGAACAAUCAGAAAGCAGACACCAGAAAACUAUUCACUCAUACAUAUAUUUUUAAAAAUGCAAAUGACAGUAUCCUUUAGCAUCUAUAAGCUAAGCAAAAG